UACGUAGGGCGCAAGCGUUGUCCGGAAUUAUUGGGCGUAAAGAGCUCGUAGGCGGUCUGUCGCGUCUGCUGUGAAAACCCGAGGCUCAACCUCGGGCCUGCAGUGGGUACGGGCAGACUAGAGUGCGGUAGGGGAGACUGGAAUUCCUGGUGUAGCGGUGGAAUGCGCAGAUAUCAGGAGGAACACCGAUGGCGAAGGCAGGUCUCUGGGCCGCAACUGACGCUGAGGAGCGAAAGCAUGGGGAG
This 245-nucleotide ribosomal RNA is filed under the name uncultured Cellulomonadaceae bacterium. RNAcentral describes it as "partial 16S ribosomal RNA". It matches the Rfam family "Bacterial small subunit ribosomal RNA", at positions 524 to 768 of the family's 1533-position model. Lineage: Bacteria; Bacillati; Actinomycetota; Actinomycetes; Micrococcales; Cellulomonadaceae. The record is from RNAcentral.